This is a non-coding RNA of Siniperca chuatsi (mandarin fish), 540 nucleotides long. Lineage: Eukaryota; Metazoa; Chordata; Actinopteri; Centrarchiformes; Sinipercidae. The record is from the annotation of a RefSeq genome assembly.
GUGUUGACUUUUGGUGGAGGAACCAGACUGGAUGUUGGAAGUGAUGUCCGUCCCACCCUGACGGUGCUGCCCCCCUCCAGCGAGGAGCUGCAGCAGGGGAAGGCCACGCUCAUGUGCCUGGCCAACAAGGGCUUCCCCUCAGACUGGAGUCUGGCCUGGAAGGUGGACGGCAGCAGCAGCAGCAGCAGCAGCAGCUGGGAGGAGAGCAGGAGCCCCGGGGUGCUGGAGAAGGACGGCCACUACAGCUGGAGCAGCACCCUGAGGCUCCCUGCAGACCAGUGGAGGAAGGUGGGCUCUGUGACCUGUGAGGCCACCCAGGGAUCCCAGACUCCGCUCUCAGAGACGCUGAGGAGAGACCAGUGUCCCCAGUCCUGACCCGACUCACUGGGACUCUGCUACUGGUUUAACUCUGAUACUGCUCUCACUCUGCAACUGUCUCUCUCUUUUAUUUGACAUGUUUCAAUAACAAUAUUUACUAGCUUGUUGCAAUGUUUCAAUAUUAUUUCAGUGUUUCCAGAUAAUAAAGACGUUUUCAUCAAA